Molecule: ribosomal RNA, 511 nt
Filed under: uncultured bacterium
Lineage: Bacteria
Description: partial 16S ribosomal RNA
Rfam family: Bacterial small subunit ribosomal RNA
Source: RNAcentral
GACGAACGCUGGCGGCGUGCCUAAUACAUGCAAGUCGAGCGGACUAAUGGGAGCUUGCUCCCGUUAGUUAGCGGCGGACGGGUGAGUAACACGUGGGUAACCUACCUAUAAGACUGGGAUAACUUCGGGAAACCGGCGCUAAUACCGGAUCAUAUUUUGAACCGCAUGGUUCAAUAGUGAAAGACGGUUUCGGCUGUCACUUGUAGAUGGACCCGAGCCGUAUUAGCUAGUUGGUAAGGUAACGGCUUACCAAGGCGACGAUACGUAGCCGACCUGAGAGGGUGAUCGGCCACACUGGAACUGAGACACGGUCCAGGCUCCUACGGGAGGCAGCAGUAGGGAAUCUUCCGCAAUGGGCGAAAGCCUGGCGGAGCAACGCCGCGUGAGUGAUGAAGGUCUUCGGAUCGUAAAACUCUGUUGUUAGGGAAGAACAAAUUUGUUAGUAACUGAACAAGUCUUGACGGUACCUAACCAGAAAGCCACGGCUAACUACGUGCCAGCAGCCGCAUAA